RNAcentral lists this ribosomal RNA (253 nucleotides) under uncultured bacterium. RNAcentral's name for it is "partial 16S ribosomal RNA". It matches the Rfam family "Bacterial small subunit ribosomal RNA", at positions 524 to 776 of the family's 1533-position model. The record is from RNAcentral.
UACGGAGGGUGCGAGCGUUGUCCGGAAUCACUGGGCGUAAAGGGCGCGUAGGCGGCCUGAUAAGUAGGGGGUGAAAUCCUGCGGCUAAACCGCAGGGCUGCCUUCUAAACUGUCAGGCUGGAGCACAGUAGAGGCAGGUGGAAUUCCCGGUGUAGCGGUGGAAUGCGUAGAGAUCGGGAAGAACAUCAGUGGCGAAGGCGGCCUGCUGGGCUGUUGCUGACGCUGAGGCGCGACAGCGUGGGGAGCAAACAGG